GACGAACGCUGGCGGCGUGCUUAACACAUGCAAGUCGAACGCAAAGGCCCUGCUUUUGUGGGGUGCUCGAGUGGCGAACGGGUGAGUAACACGUGAGUAACCUGCCCUUGACUUUGGGAUAACUUCAGGAAACUGGGGCUAAUACCGGAUAGGAGCUCCUGCUGCAUGGUGGGGGUUGGAAAGCUUCGGCGGUUGGGGAUGGACUCGCGGCUUAUCAGCUUGUUGGUGGGGUAGUGGCUUACCAAGGCUUUGACGGGUAGCCGGCCUGAGAGGGUGACCGGCCACAUUGGGACUGAGAUACGGCCCAGACUCCUACGGGAGGCAGCAGUGGGGAAUAUUGCACAAUGGGCGGAAGCCUGAUGCAGCAACGCCGCGUGCGGGAUGACGGCCUUCGGGUUGUAAACCGCUUUCGCCUGUGACGAAGCGUGAGUGACGGUAAUGGGUAAAGAAGCACCGGCUAACUACGUG
Molecule: ribosomal RNA, 468 nt
Filed under: uncultured bacterium
Lineage: Bacteria
Description: partial 16S ribosomal RNA
Rfam family: Bacterial small subunit ribosomal RNA
Source: RNAcentral